This 374-nucleotide ribosomal RNA is filed under the name uncultured eukaryote. Its description in RNAcentral is "partial 18S ribosomal RNA". It matches the Rfam family "Eukaryotic small subunit ribosomal RNA", at positions 592 to 976 of the family's 1831-position model. The record is from RNAcentral.
CAAGAGCGUAUGUAAAAGUUGUUGCAGUUAAAAAGCUCGUAGUUGAACCUUGGGUUUGGUUGGCCGGUCCGCUUUUUUGCGAGUACUGGAUUCAACCGAGCCUUUCCUUCUGGCUAACCAGUCGUUUCGGCGGCUGGCGAACCAGGAUUUUUACUUUGAGAAAAUUAGAGUGUUCAAAGCAGGCAUUAGCUUGAAUAUAUUAGCGUGGAAUAAUAGAAUAGGACGUUAUGGUUCUAUUUUGUUGGUUUCUAGGACCAUCGUAAUGAUUAAUAGGGACGGUCGGGGGCAUCAGUAUUCAGUUGUCAGAGGUGAAAUUCUUGGAUUUACUGAAGACUAACUACUGCGAAAGCAUUUGCCAAGGACGUUUUCAUUAA